UCGACUUUAUUUAUCGAUAUGGCGAUAAAAAAAUUAUUAAGAAAUAUAUUCUACGUCUUUGUAGACGACAUGUGCGAAAAUAUAAAUUGCUGCGUAUCGUUUCAAUGACAUUAUUCAGGAACCAUAUUGAAUACACUUCUGUCACGAGUUACCUUAUUCAUUAUAAAUUAUUCAACGUCCUUCGUUAUAAUUUGUAUAACUAAGUGCACAUUAUUGAAAUAGUGUGUUAUGUAUGUGUUACCUUAUACUUGAAGACUUCUACGUACCUGACCAAUAAAGUCUGGUUUAGCCUUCAUUUUGUCUAAAAGUAACUUUCCGAUGUUCGUGUAUUCCGUGGAUAAAGAUACUUCUUUGCCUUUUAAUAUAUAAUCUUUUAUAGUGAAAUCACUCUGAAAUAAUCGAUUGAAAUGAUUGAUUUCGGAUACGUCGACUUAAAAAUGUCGCUCAUAUUACUAAAAUUUUUUUAUUUUAACGACAUAACGAACAACUAUCCUUCUCAAAAUUUGGAUAGUAUGGAAAAUGAAACUUAAUUGAAAAAUUUUCUUGAACGCUUACAUUUAUCAAUUUAUCGAUCUCCAUGAUUAUCGAUGGUAUACUUUUUACCGCUAUAUUUCACAGAUAUAUAUUCACUCAGCUAUGUUAUAAUAUCUUUAAGCGAUUUCACCAUUAAAAGAACGAUUAAACCAAGACCUUUGAUAUCGGAGGAAGACUCGAGGAGAUAUAAGACUCGACUGUCCACAAAAUUUGGUGUUUUUUUGUGAAAAAUACAUUACGAUAACUGAA
Vespula pensylvanica (western yellowjacket) is the source of this 783-nucleotide long non-coding RNA. RefSeq lists it as uncharacterized. The record is from RefSeq and is a predicted model, not a curated record. Lineage: Eukaryota; Metazoa; Arthropoda; Insecta; Hymenoptera; Vespidae. The transcript is spliced from 2 exons.